GGGCCCGCACAAGUAGUGGAGCAUGUGGUUUAAUUCGACGAUACGCGAAGAACCUUACCAGGGCUUGACAUGGAGCUAAAGACUCUAGAAAUAGAGGGAUAGUUAUAGCUCACACAGGUGGUGCAUGGUUGUCGUCAGCUCGUGUCGUGAGAUGUUGGGUUAAGUCCCGCAACGAGCGCAACCCUUGUCCUUAGUUACCAGCAUUCAGUUGGGGACUCUAAGGAGACUGCCGGUGCAAAUCGGAGGAAGGUGGGGAUGACGUCAAAUCAUCAUGCCCCUUAUGUCCUGGGCAACACACGUGCUACAAUGGCCGGUACAAAGAGACGCCAACUAGCGAUAGUGAGCAAAUCUCAAAAAGCCGGUCUCAGUUCGGAUUGGAGUCUGCAACUCGACUCCAUGAAGCUGAAAUUACUAGUAAUCGUAGAUCAGCUAUGCUA
This 437-nucleotide ribosomal RNA is filed under the name uncultured Bacillota bacterium. Its description in RNAcentral is "bacterial SSU rRNA". It matches the Rfam family "Bacterial small subunit ribosomal RNA", at positions 917 to 1359 of the family's 1533-position model. Lineage: Bacteria; Bacillati; Bacillota. The record is from RNAcentral.